RNAcentral lists this small nucleolar RNA (49 nucleotides) under Pyrobaculum neutrophilum V24Sta. RNAcentral's name for it is "PNEsR114". Lineage: Archaea; Thermoproteati; Thermoproteota; Thermoprotei; Thermoproteales; Thermoproteaceae. The record is from RNAcentral.
GUGAUGACUUCGACCGCUCUGGAACGAUGACGAAGGUAUGCAGCGCUGA